This is a non-coding RNA of Osmia lignaria (orchard mason bee), 5136 nucleotides long. The record is from RefSeq and is a predicted model, not a curated record. NCBI's taxonomy places the organism in Eukaryota, Metazoa, Arthropoda, Insecta, Hymenoptera, Megachilidae.
GCCACGGCUACCGAAUUCGUAUUAGCGCGGCAGUGACGAGCAUCCGGUUUACGCAAGCAGGCGUAGGCGACGUGAGAAGACGAGAGUGUUCCACAGUGUCCAGCAACAGGAGGCAGCUGUAAACUCUCUUUAAAGUCUGCCUGCCUUCUGCGCCGGCCAUAGUUGACGGCUCCCCUCCAGCGGCGCCACUCGCCGAGAUCGGAGCUGCACAAACAUUCAGGGCCGUGUUUUCGUGGCUGCACUAGAAUGAAUCUUAAGCCGCAAAGGAUGUUCCAGAACCCGGAAAUUCGAAAAAUUAUAAAACUCUGUGAAUAUACAGGUUACGGCGAUGUGCCACCAGUAGGGGCGUAGGGGGCACGACGCAGGACCACACACGCGGUACCAUUUCCCCUUGAGCAAAAACAUUACCCACACUCGGUCCCGGAGUACGUGACACGCACGAGGCACACAAGAGCAACUUACAGAUCGCCUCAGCAUCUCCUUCUCUCGUUCCUGGUUUCUCUUCUCGCUACUCUCUCCUGAUCGUUGCCAGCACACAGUCUUCGGGAAGUUUUCUACAUACACGGUUCUUCGUGCCGUGUGGUAGUGGCGAGAGGGGUUCGGACGAUCCAAGAAGCGCAGUGAACGCGGCCGACGUGCGGCGUAGAGUCGAAGACGGAGCGGAAGAGGGCCACCGAUGUACCCGAACGUAAACACGACUCCCUUACGGGCCUCUGGGAGAUCGAAAUCGCCGCUGCUCUGGGCAAUAUUAAUCGAGACCGGAAAUACGCCGGUUUACUGGCUGAGCCGAGCCGCCGCCUCUUCGCCACUGCACACUAAAGCAAAUCUGCAUAAUUGAUUAUACGCGUCUCUCCCUUGCCACUGGUUAUGAUUUGAUUGCCGGCCACAAGUAUAGGCUUCGGACUGUGUUCUCUCCUGCGUGUAUAAUCGAUCACCUUAUUUGUUUUUUAUUUCAUUAAAAUGUAAUGAAAAUCCAUGUCAUUGAUUUAGCAUAUGCAAAGGGGUUCGUCCGUGUUCUAUAAUUUCAUUGAAAAUCAAUAAGGAACAUGGUAAAAGUGAAACGAAACUACCAUUUCUCAUCCAUAGAAGAGAAAGAAGUGGGAACAAUGUUUUUUGAAUGCGUUCAUUAAGCCAUGGGGAAGAGCGUUAACACCGGACGAUUAACUUAUUAACCUGUCUUCAUAAUAUCUGCAUAACGAUGCACUUCAUUAGGCGUCGUAACAGCACUCCUGUGCGGGGUCGCGCGUCGUGUGUCCGUUGCACGCGCGUGUAUGCACGCCGGAACGUUUAUUGGGCAGUCUCGCACGCACUCGAGAUUUGUGUGCACGUGUGGGACGUGUGGGACGUGUGGGACGUGUGGGACGUGUGGGACGUGUGGUGUGGAACAGCGUGAAAAGAAGGACAGACAGAUCGCGGUAGAACGGGAGGGAACGGAGAAAAUUAAAUAAGAGGGAGAAAGAUAGAGUGAAACAAGCUGGCAGAUCGAAAGAGGUAAUGUAUAAAUACACGACCACCCACUGCGAUACCGAGUCCGACACCCUGUCCCGCCAAAUACGAGACAAUUUUCGAUUCUGAUACGGACAGCCGCGACUUUUUAUCCUUUUUCCCCUUCUUCUUUUUUUUUUUGAUGGGACUCCUCUCGGAGACCUUGUCGUUGUUUUCAUUGAGUAUCUUCGAAGAAAGAUUGGUGCUUUACUGAUGUCUACUUCCAAGUAUUUUAUUAAAUAAAAAAGUAUAUAGGGUUACUUUGCAAAUGGUAGAAAAGAAAUGGAGUAAAUAUUUCAUAGGAAAAUUGAAAUAUUACUAUGGUACCUGAAUAUUAAUUAAAAACAUAUAGUGGGUGAAAACAGUAUUGGCAUGCCCUGGUUUCAUUCUGAAUCAACUUUGGAAUAUGUAAAAUGUUUCAAAGUCCUAAGAUGGAAAGAGAGGAAAUGUGAUUGCACAUUGUCGUGACGGCUUCGACGAAUGCACCCUACUGUAGUUGGCGAUCCGGCGAUAAGGCACAGCGUGCAGUGGGACCGUUAAUAAUUUUUACGACACUCUUAACUCGCCACCCAGUAUUAAGCGGUCUUCCGUAGAAGACGAGCUUUGAUCUUUGCCGACGCUGCAUCGGCUUAAUGAGUGCGAGACAGAGAUAGCGGUAAAGCCGAGCUGAAAUGCAGCGUAUGAUCGCGUCAGAGUCCCCAAGAGAUCUAUUUUCCACACUAUAUGUUUUUACAUUCUUUUUUUAUUUCAAUAAUUUCUGUUAGGAGACGACCAGUUCACAUUUUGUAGGAGCUAGUUACAUAAGUACAUAUGUAGGUACAUACAUGUACAUGUCGAUAGAUAAAUUAGAAAAGAGUAUUUGGAGCAUACCUAUAUUUGCAUAUUUAUCCUUAGUCAACUUUCGCUAUUGAUUUUUACUAAUGUUUGAUUAGUAAUCAUCUUAGUGGUGGUACCAAAACAGCUCGUAUAAGUAAGAUAGCGACUGACAAAGGUAGUAUCAGCGAUAACCAGCUGCGGUAUCGACGGGAGACCUUAUUUUCGAUGGUAUCUGGGAAAUAGAAACAAACGAAUGGACGGACGGACGUGUAUGCCGCAUUCCGUGUUUAUUAUUUUGCCGGUGGGUGGUCUGGAGAAGUCCAGAGCCGUCUUGGUGGCCGAUAGCAUCUCUCGUGUCUCUCAUGUGCACGCACCGUUGAACGCGGCCAACGCACAGUGAACACGAACGUGGAGCACCGAGUCGUCUUGCGUAAGGAAGUAGUCGACUACUCUCCUUCCUCUACGACCAUUAUCUCUCUCCGGCUGAUCUUCCUUUAUUCCUACCUUGGCCUUAUACUUUUCCUCUUAUCUCUCUCUUCUUCCGUCUUGUUACGUUGCCCAUUGGCGUAACUACUGCUCAGAGAUGGGAAGUUUGUUAUUGGAACGGUGUAGUGUCAAAAGAAGUAUACCAUAGGUAUAAUUGUCCUUUGUUGCUUCUUUUUUCUUUCUCUCACGUAUAACACUUUUUUUUCUUUUCUUUUCCUGUCGACUUUUAUGACUUUCUUUGAUGUUUACAUAAUUUUCUAAAUGUUAUAUAAUAUUUGUCUUCCUAUUUUUUAAACAAUAUUAUAACAUGUAAAUUCAGAAUAUGUGAACUCCAAUUCUGAAACUCUUGUACGACAUCGUUAAACCCGAUCCAAGGAUGACUAAUGCCAAGGAUUACGGUUUAUACCAGCUCCGUGCUGAAGAGUGGAUCGUCCUUUACCAUUGUAAUGAGGUGAAUCGUUAUACCCUUCACCAUAGAUAAUACACCUACUCGAUCGUGAAGAGUAGCAAAGAAGAUAGACGAAGAAGAUGGUAACCUACGGCUAUCUGCAUCUACCGACCGCUACCGGUGCUUCUCCUCGUCGAUGGAUUAUCUACGAUACGUUCGUAUUGUUGGCUGCACGGCGCGGCGCGGCGCGGCGCGGCGUCGAAAGAUCGCGGGGACAUCGACUUCCGGUCUUUGUCGGAACCCUCGACGAAUUCCGUUCUGGACGAGGAAUUGUCAUUAUCUUUGUUGACUCGGCGGAUUCUUUGUGUCCCUCCUCUUGUCCCUUCGCUACUAUGUAUGUAUGUGGCUGCUAAUGAUACGAUCUAUGUCCUGUGGCAGUGUUCGAUAGGUGGAACGGUUAGUUGAUUGGUAAUUAUGAAACGAUGAUACAGAACGUAAAUCACGGUUUAAUUAAACGGGUAUUCCAGUGUAUGGUAGACAGCCGUUUUCGAUCUGAUCUUUCGGAAUUAAAUCAAAGAAAAUUCCAUAUCGUAAUUUAUCAUAGAUAAAUUGCUACUAUUCCUAUAAAAAUUAAAAUUUUUGAAAAAUAGUAUGACUUCUUCAAAUUUAAAGAUCUUUGCUUUAUCUUUACCAUUGCAUUUCCAUAUGCGUACAAUGAAUAACAACGUAGAAGCUACUUUAUUCGCCAUUGUCAAGGGGUACGUGCAAAAGCAUGAAUAACGGUAUGUAUACAUUUUCGAGCCCUUGCUUCCGAAUCGCUUUAAAGAGUCUCGCCCAAUAGCAAGCGCGACUUUGUAUGCAGUCUACCUUGAAGGAAAUGCAACAAAUCGUUCCGAUGGAUUUACGAUUUUGAUUCGAAGUAACCACAGAGAUGUAUCAGGGUGUGUUGUGUGCCCUUGGUCGGUCUGCCUUUUCUGACCAUAUCGCUUUUCGUCAUGGCCCGCGGUAUGCUUGCGGACCACCAACGUCGUCGCAAUUAGUAAGUCGGAUAUCCUUCACUCUUAUUCUCUCGCUCCUAUUCCCAUUUACUUUGUAUGUAUCUAUUUCUCUAACCUCCUCUUCUAGAUACACAAAUUAAUCUGCUGCUUCGCUUAUCUCAAUUGAAAAUUUAUUUUUCAAAUUUUAUACUAGUUUCAAUUUUUAUAAUAUGUUCUCCGUAAGGUACAACAAGUGUUUUAAAACAAUGAAAUCAAUAGUGAAAGGUAGCUGUUGUCCUUUCAGAAAAGGGCAAGGUUUUGGCUUAAAAUUGAAACUGCUCGCUCAGCGGGAAAGCCAUUCUUUAAGAAUUUCCAAAAUGUCUAGAAAAAAAGGGCAGCUAGAAAAGAAAGUCCUUUGCCACGUUAAACAGCGUCUCUAAUUUCAUCUAGGAGAAUUAUCGUUAACUGGAGUCCCUGACUGGAUGGUCCUUCUUGCCCAUUGAGCCUGCAACCAGAGCCACUCGACAAUGGCUCAUUGUGUUGGCGCGCUGCCACCGGAGCUAACCCGUAUGUAAAUGAGAGAAGAAUUAAAUAUAUAUAUCUACCGAACGAUAACUUUGUUUGAAUUAGCAUUACCUGCUUUUAUAAGUGUUGCGCCGCGUACGGGCUACGGGGAACAACGCGUGUAUGUAUGGGUUCACGUGUUCGUUGCGGGUGAGCCCGAUGGUGGUCCAGAGACGUGAUACCCGAGAGAAGUUUUGCCAACCUUUUACUUUGUUAUUUUCAUGGUUUAUCUUUGUUUUUUGUUGCACCGUGUCGGGAUACUUUUGAUGAUAGCAUUUUCAUAGUAUCCGAUUUGGAAUAUCUAAUAUCGCAAAAGAUGUUUAUGGUAUUAGAUAGAUUGAUAAAGUUAUUUCUGGUGAUCCUACUACGGACCACCAGAAAUUUUCUAAACGAUUUCCCAGUGAAAUGAGGAAAGAGGAA